Molecule: ribosomal RNA, 405 nt
Filed under: uncultured bacterium
Lineage: Bacteria
Description: partial 16S ribosomal RNA
Rfam family: Bacterial small subunit ribosomal RNA
Source: RNAcentral
GAUGAACGCUGGCGGCGUGCCUAAUACAUGCAAGUCGAGCGAAGCGGGGAGGGGUGAGUAACACGUGGAUAACCUCCUAUAUGACUGGGAUAACUUCGGGUAACCGGAGCUAAACCGGAUAAUUAUAGAUGGAUACGCGCUGCAGUGGCUAGUUGUUAAGGUAACGGCUUACCAAGGCCACGAUGCAUAGCCGACCUGAGAGGGGGAUCGGCCACACUGGAACUGAGACACGGUCCAGACUCCUACGGGAGGCAGCAGUGGGGAAUCUUCCGCAAUGUGCGAAAGCCUGACGGAGCAACGCCGCGUGAGUGAUGAAGGUCUUCGGAUCGUAAAACUCUGUUAUUAGGGAAGCGGUACCUAAUCAGAAAGCCACGGCUAACUACGUGCCAGCAGCCGCGGUAAUUC